Molecule: non-coding RNA, 114 nt
Organism: Acanthosepion pharaonis
Lineage: Eukaryota; Metazoa; Mollusca; Cephalopoda; Sepiida; Sepiidae
Source: the annotation of a GenBank genome assembly
UUACGGCCAUAUCACGUUGAAACAUUGGUUCCCAUACAAUAACCGAAGUUAAGCAAGGUCGAGCCUGGUCAAUACCGUGAUGGGCGAUCGCUUGGGAAUGCCAGGUGCUGUAAG